GACAAACGCUGGCGGCGUGCCUAAUACAUGCCAGUCGAACGCUGAAGGAGGAGCUUGCUUCUCUGGAUGAGUUGCGAACGGGUGAGUAACGCGUAGGUAACCUGCCUGGUAGCGGGGGAUAACUAUUGGAAACGAUAGCUAAUACCGCAUAAGAGUAGAUGUUGCAUGACAGUUGCUUGAAAGGUGCAAUUGCAUCACUACCAGAUGGACCUGCGUUGUAUUAGCUAGUUGGUGAGGUAACGGCUCACUAAGGCAACGAUACAUAGACGACCUGAGAGGGGGAUCGCCGACACGGGAACGUGGACACGGCCCUGACUCCUAAGGGAGGCACCAGAAGGGAACCUGCGGCAAUGGUGGGAAGUCUGACCGAGUAACGCCGCGUGUGUGGAAACGGUGUCCGGAUCGGAAAGCCCGGUUGUAAGUGAAAAACGAGUGUGAGAUUGGAAAGAGCGCACUGGGAGGUGAUCGGACCAGAAGGGGACGGCUAACUACUG
This 494-nucleotide ribosomal RNA is filed under the name uncultured bacterium. RNAcentral's name for it is "partial 16S ribosomal RNA". It matches the Rfam family "Bacterial small subunit ribosomal RNA", at positions 28 to 506 of the family's 1533-position model. The record is from RNAcentral.